This 444-nucleotide ribosomal RNA is filed under the name uncultured Acetobacteraceae bacterium. RNAcentral describes it as "bacterial SSU rRNA". It matches the Rfam family "Bacterial small subunit ribosomal RNA", at positions 337 to 798 of the family's 1533-position model. The record is from RNAcentral. Lineage: Bacteria; Pseudomonadati; Pseudomonadota; Alphaproteobacteria; Acetobacterales; Acetobacteraceae.
UCCUACGGGCGGCUGCAGUGGGGAAUAUUGGACAAUGGGCGCAAGCCUGAUCCAGCAAUGCCGCGUGGGUGAAGAAGGUCUUCGGAUCGUAAAGCCCUUUCGACAGGGACGAUGAUGACGGUACCUGUAGAAGAAGCCCCGGCUAACUUCGUGCCAGCAGCCGCGGUAAUACGAAGGGGGCUAGCGUUACUCGGAAUUACUGGGCGUAAAGGGCGCGUAGGCGGCUCUGUGAGUCAGGCGUGAAAUUCCUGGGCUUAACCUGGGGACGGCGCUUGAUACUGCGGAGCUUGAGGCCGAGAGAGGGUGGUGGAAUUCCCAGUGUAGAGGUGAAAUUCGUAGAUAUUGGGAAGAACACCGGUGGCGAAGGCGACCACCUGGCUCGGUACUGACGCUGAGGCGCGACAGCGUGGGGAGCAAACAGGAUUAGAUACCCCUGUAGUCCCU